This 499-nucleotide ribosomal RNA is filed under the name uncultured bacterium. RNAcentral describes it as "partial 16S ribosomal RNA". It matches the Rfam family "Bacterial small subunit ribosomal RNA", at positions 28 to 507 of the family's 1533-position model. The record is from RNAcentral.
GACGAACGCUGGCGGCGUGCCUAAUACAUGCAAGUCGAGCGGACUUUCAAGAAGCUUGCUUUUUGAAAGUUAGCGGCGGACGGGUGAGUAACACGUGGGCAACCUGCCUGCAAGACGGGGAUAACUCCGGGAAACCGGGGCUAAUACCGGAUAAUAUCUUCCUUCGCAUGAAGGAAGGUUGAAAGGCGGCGCAAGCUGCCGCUUGCAGAUGGGCCCGCGGCGCAUUAGCUAGUUGGUGAGGUAACGGCUCACCCAGGCGACGAUGCGUAGCCGACCUGAGAGGGUGAUCGGCCACACUGGGACUGAGACACGGCCCAGACUCCUACGGGAGGCAGCAGUAGGGAAUCUUCCGCAAUGGACGAAAGUCUGACGGAGCAACGCCGCGUGAGCGAAGAAGGUCUUCGGAUCGUAAAGCUCUGUUGUCAGGGAAGAACAAGUACCGUUCGAACAGGGCGGUACCUUGACGGUACCUGACCAGAAAGCCACGGCUAACUACGUG